RNAcentral lists this unclassified non-coding RNA (365 nucleotides) under soil metagenome. RNAcentral's name for it is "partial contains 5.8S ribosomal RNA, internal transcribed spacer 2, and large subunit ribosomal RNA". The stretch from base 1 to 120 matches the Rfam family "5.8S ribosomal RNA", at positions 35 to 154 of the family's 154-position model. The record is from RNAcentral.
GAUGAAGAACGUAGCGAAAUGCGAUAAGUAAUAUGAAUUGCAGAAUUCAGUGAAUCAUCGAAUCUUUGAACGCACAUUGCGCCCGCCAGCAUUCUGGCGGGCAUGCCUGUUCGAGCGUCAUUUCAACCCUCGCAGCCCAUCUGGGCAGCGGUGUUGGGGACCGGCACCACCGGCGAAGCCCUUAGGGGCCCAGCCGGCGCCGCCCCCGAAAUACAGUGGCGGUCUCGCUGCAGCCUCCCUUGCGUAGUAGCACACCUCGCACCGGAGCGCAGCGCGGCCACGCCGUAAAACCCCCGACUUUCUGAGUUUGACCUCGAAUCAGGUAGGAAUACCCGCUGAACUUAAGCAUAUCAAUAAGCGGAGGA